Long non-coding RNA from Haliotis rubra (blacklip abalone), 91 nucleotides. RefSeq lists it as uncharacterized. The record is from RefSeq and is a predicted model, not a curated record. NCBI's taxonomy places the organism in Eukaryota, Metazoa, Mollusca, Gastropoda, Lepetellida, Haliotidae. The transcript is spliced from 3 exons.
AACCCAUGGUUUCCGUUGACCUGAAUAAAUGAUUUAAAGUGGUAUGUUCCAUCAGAGAUAUGGAGCCUUGAAGAUCCGGGUUAGCUUCACU